CGAAAACAUCAGGGGAGCUUAACGGCUGAGAGGAAGGCAACUUCGACCCUUAGAACCUGUCCGGAUAAUACUGGCGUAGGAAGUUAGCGGCACAAGUGG
This is a regulatory RNA element of 99 nucleotides. It matches the Rfam family "TPP riboswitch aptamer (THI element)". From Rfam's summary of the family: Vitamin B(1) in its active form thiamin pyrophosphate (TPP) is an essential coenzyme that is synthesised by coupling of pyrimidine and thiazole moieties in bacteria. The previously detected thiamin-regulatory element, thi box was extended, resulting in a new, highly conserved RNA secondary structure, the THI element, which is widely distributed in eubacteria and also occurs in some archaea. The record is from Rfam.